GAUGAACGCUGGCGGCGUGCCUAAUACAUGCAAGUCGAGCGAACGGACGAGAAGCUUGCUUCUCUGAUGUUAGCGGCGGACGGGUGAGUAACACGUGGAUAACCUACCUAUAAGACUGGGAUAACUUCGGGAAACCGGAGCUAAUACCGGAUAAUAUUUUGAACCGCAUGGUUCAAAAGUGAAAGACGGUCUUGCUGUCACUUAUAGAUGGAUCCGCGCUGCAUUAGCUAGUUGGUAAGGUAACGGCUUACCAAGGCAACGAUGCAUAGCCGACCUGAGAGGGUGAUCGGCCACACUGGAACUGAGACACGGUCCAGACUCCUACGGGAGGCAGCAGUAGGGAAUCUUCCGCAAUGGGCGAAAGCCUGACGGAGCAACGCCGCGUGAGUGAUGAAGGUCUUCGGAUCGUAAAACUCUGUUAUCAGGGAAGAACAUAUGUGUAAGUAACUGUGCACAUCUUGACGGUACCUAAUCAGAAAGCCACGGCUAACUACGUGCCAGCAGCCGCGGUAAUACGUAGGUGGCAAGCGUUAUCCGGAAUUAUUGGGCGUAAAGCGCGCGUAGGCGGUUUUUUAAGUCUGAUGUGAAAGCCCACGGCUCAACCGUGGAGGGUCAUUGGAAACUGGAAAACUUGAGUGCAGAAGAGGAAAGUGGAAUUCCAUGUGUAGCGGUGAAAUGCGCAGAGAUAUGGAGGAACACCAGUGGCGAAGGCGACUCUCUGGUCUGUAACUGACGCUGAUGUGCGAAAGCGUGGGGAUCAAACAGGAUUAGAUACCCUGGUAGUCCACGCCGUAAACGAUGAGUGCUAAGUGUUAGGGGGUUUCCGCCCCUUAGUGCUGCAGCUAACGCAUUAAGCACUCCGCCUGGGGAGUACGACCGCAAGGUUGAAACUCAAAGGAAUUGACGGGGACCCGCACAAGCGGUGGAGCAUGUGGUUUAAUUCGAAGCAACGCGAAGAACCUUACCAAAUCUUGACAUCCUUUGACAACUCUAGAGAUAGAGCUUUCCCCUUCGGGGGACAAAGUGACAGGUGGUGCAUGGUUGUCGUCAGCUCGUGUCGUGAGAUGUUGGGUUAAGUCCCGCAACGAGCGCAACCCUUAAGCUUAGUUGCCAUCAUUAAGUUGGGCACUCUAAGUUGACUGCCGGUGACAAACCGGAGGAAGGUGGGGAUGACGUCAAAUCAUCAUGCCCCUUAUGAUUUGGGCUACACACGUGCUACAAUGGACAAUACAAAGGGCAGCGAAACCGCGAGGUCAAGCAAAUCCCAUAAAGUUGUUCUCAGUUCGGAUUGUAGUCUGCAACUCGACUACAUGAAGCUGGAAUCGCUAGUAAUCGUAGAUCAGCAUGCUACGGUGAAUACGUUCCCGGGUCU
This 1372-nucleotide ribosomal RNA is filed under the name uncultured bacterium. RNAcentral's name for it is "bacterial SSU rRNA". It matches the Rfam family "Bacterial small subunit ribosomal RNA", at positions 28 to 1381 of the family's 1533-position model. The record is from RNAcentral.